This 73-nucleotide transfer RNA is filed under the name Bos taurus (domestic cattle). It matches the Rfam family "tRNA". Rfam says of the family: Transfer RNA (tRNA) molecules are approximately 80 nucleotides in length. Their secondary structure includes four short double-helical elements and three loops (D, anti-codon, and T loops). Lineage: Eukaryota; Metazoa; Chordata; Mammalia; Artiodactyla; Bovidae. The record is from Rfam by way of RNAcentral.
UCCUCGGCAGUCCAGUGGUUACGACUCUGCGCUUCCACUGCAGGGGGUGCAGGUUUGAUCCCUGGUCGGGGAA